Molecule: ribosomal RNA, 484 nt
Filed under: uncultured bacterium
Lineage: Bacteria
Description: partial 16S ribosomal RNA
Rfam family: Bacterial small subunit ribosomal RNA
Source: RNAcentral
AUUGAACGCUGGCGGCAGGCCUAACACAUGCAAGUCGAGCGGAUGAAGGGAGCUUGCUCCUGGAUUCAGCGGCGGACGGGUGAGUAAUGCCUAGGAAUCUGCCUGGUAGUGGGGGAUAACGUCCGGAAACGGGCGCUAAUACCGCAUACGUCCUGAGGGAGAAAGUGGGGGAUCUUCGGACCUCACGCUAUCAGAUGAGCCUAGGUCGGAUUAGCUAGUUGGUGGGGUAAAGGCCUACCAAGGCGACGAUCCGUAACUGGUCUGAGAGGAUGAUCAGUCACACGGGAACUGAGACACGGUCCAGACUCAGACGGGAGGCAGCAGUGGGGAAUAUUGGACAAUGGGCGAAAGCUUGAUCAGGCCAUGCCGUGUGUGUGAAGAAGGUCUUCGGAUUGUAAAGCACUUUAAGUUGGAAGAAAGGGAAGUAAGUUAAUACAUUGCUGUUUAGACGUUACCAACAUAAUAAGCACGGGCUAACUUCGUG